Molecule: transfer RNA, 64 nt
Filed under: Kaloula kokacii (Catanduanes narrow-mouthed frog)
Lineage: Eukaryota; Metazoa; Chordata; Amphibia; Anura; Microhylidae
Description: tRNA-Cys
Source: RNAcentral
AGGCCCUGCGGUGUAACGUGCGGUUGCAAGCCGCAAGAAGCAGAUAACAUUCUGCCGGGGCUUC